CUCAACUAUAAUUCCAGGCAUAACAUGGGGUCUCUGUGUAUUUGUCUUUCCCACUGGGUUGGAAGCUCCUGGAGGAGAAGAACAGUGUCUCUUUACUCUCUUCCUGGCCUGGAAUGCCCAGCACUGAGUCAGACCAGGGAAGAUGCCUUUUCAAAGCCGACAUGCCUGGCUUCUUCCAGCUGUACCACUCCAGAAUUCUGCUUCACAUCUCUUUGCUCAGAAAUGCAAGUUUCUAACAGAACGAUCUUCGGAAUAAAAUGUACAAAAAUGAAGAGGAGGCUGGCCAAAGCCAUGCCCCCAAAGAGACACGGCAUCUGUUGUGAGAUUCUUGCUGCUAGCUAGCUGCCUGCCAAAGACCACCAACCAACAGCGGGUUCUUCUUCAACACAGAUAACUUUAAUCAACAUCAUUCCCUCAUGUAAGUAAGCUUACCAAGGGGCAGCAAGGGCCACCUCAAGCAGUAAAAUGAGAAACAGAAACAUGAGGCUUAAUGUAGCAUGAACAUGGGUUCAAAGAAAAUCAUUUCAGAAAAAGUCGGAAGGAGCAAGACAGGAUCAAAGAGACAUGUCCAUUUCAGGGAAUAAUCCUGCUUUCCAUCCAAGCCCACCGCUGCCCCUCCUUCCCCUUUCAUAUUUCCAAUUGGCCUGACGUUCGCAGCAGAGAGAGCCCAUCUAACCAAGAUUUUCCUUUCCCAGAAAGGACUUUUGUGAUGUUUCCGUGCAAAGUGAAUAUUCUUACUGGAAGUGAAAGAGGGGGACAGAGGCAAUAAAAGAAUGAAUGUGCAAGUUUACAAUCCAAAAGAAGAACAGGCUCUUUCCUCCCAUUAUGAGCAGCUUCUAAAUCACAUAGAGCAUCAGCAGAGGCAGAAACUAUAUGCAUGUGCAUGAAAUAAAUGCUUACACGUUAUAUAAAUCUAUGCAUCUGCCUCCAAAAGCAGACAAUUAAGAAGUAGAAGAAAGUAAUCAAAGCUUGACUCUAUAUAUCAAAAUCUAGGAAAGUGGCAGGCUGUCUUGUCAUUGGUGUUUUUCCUCCCCCGUAAUAGAUUCUCCGCCCUCUUCCAUAAGCAUUUUGCCAGGCUAUGUUUAGAAUAGACGUCAGAGCUGGGAAACCAACUUGCAAAGCAAGACUUUCCCAAUAGUGCCAUCUGGUGGUGGUUCUAUGUAUUAGACCAUAACUUUGACCCGAGAUACCCAUGGCAGGAAGCCCAAGGCAAACAAUUUGGAAUCAGUCCUUUCACUAUUUAAAAAGUAGAGCCUUUGGGAUGUGGCAUUGGAUAGUGUGUGACAAGUGCCCAACACACAGGUGUUGAGAGAAAGUGCUGCCACAAGAUGGACAUCAUACAUUAGGAAACAAAGUUUUGGGUCGACCACUUAGCUGGUUGCAUGAAUUAGCACACUGUCCAAUUUUUUGCUUUCACCGUGCCAUGUAAAUAUUUACAACAGACCAGUGGAAAGAGAUUUGUGAAAGUACAAAUUCUAAGGAAAGGACUUAGAAUCGCUGUAUUUUAGAGAAGAAUCCCUUUAGUUGUGGGCUUCUGAAACUCGGGACUAUGAUCCUGUUUCAGGGAAAGUGAAUUCCUUGAAAUUGAACAUAAAAGGUGAUAUGUUGGCACAUGAGGGCAUUUUAUCAGAUUCUUAAAGGAGUCCAUGGCAUAGAAAAGGCUAAGGACCGGAGUUCCUAUCGUGGCUCAGGGAAAACGAAUCUGACUAGCAUCCAUGAGGACACAGGUUUGAUCCCUGGCCUCGCUCAGUGGGUUAAGGAUCCUGUGUUGCUGUGAGCUGUGGUGUAGGUUGCAGACGUGGCUUGGAUCUGGCGUGGCUGUGGCUGUGGUGUAGGCCAGCAGCUGCAGCUCCAAUUCGACCCCUAGUCUGGGAACCUCCAAAUGACUCGGGUGUGGCCCUAUAAAGACAAAAGAAAAGACAAGGGAAAAGAAAAGGCUAAAGAGAGAUGCUUGGGAUUCUAACGUAACCGUUCUAACUGUAUUAGAAAAUUCCACAACAGUCCACAGAUUCAGUUACUCUCCAUUUGAACUUUACCGCUAUGGAGACAGCACUGUUUUGAGGCAGUCAGUCAACAGCAAUUACUUCGAAGCCUUAGGAAGUUUUUUUUUUGUUUGUUUGUUUGUUUGUUUUUUGUCUUUCUGCCAUUUCUUAGGCCGCUCCCGCGGCAUAUGGCCAUUCCCAGGCUAGGGGUCUAAUCGGAGCUGUAGCCACCAGCCUACACCAGAGCCACAGCAACUCGGAAUCCGAGCCACAUCUGCGACCUACACCACAGCUCACGGCAAUGCUGGAUCCUUAACCCACUGAGCAAGGGCAGGGAUCGAACCCGCAACCUCAUGGUUCCUAGUCGGAUUCGUUAACCACUGCGCCACGACGGGAAUUCCAGCCUUAGGAAGUUGUAAUGUCGAAUUGUCUUUCUCCA
This 2421-nucleotide long non-coding RNA is filed under the name Sus scrofa (pig). Its description in RNAcentral is "lncRNA (ENSSSCG00040063501.1)". The record is from RNAcentral. Lineage: Eukaryota; Metazoa; Chordata; Mammalia; Artiodactyla; Suidae.